CUAGAAAAGAGUGAGCUGGGAGGUUUAAUAGAGUCAAAGAGAGAGAGAGACUUUAAUUCAAAUGGGCACGGAGGCUGCUGCUGUGACAGUGAGGGACCUUGUAAGGAUCAAUACAUGUUGGUUCCUGUGAACUGUUGUACAGAACCCUGGGGCACUGGCAUUGGAAGAAUGAUGAACUCUGGCUUCCAGAAAGUCAUAGCCCUAGCAUUUGACAUGAAGACAACUUUCAGAGAGUGAGUAACCAGGCAUAUCAAGUCUGCGUGGUCCAGUCUCCCCUCGGAUGCAUUAAAUCUUCUGCAUACACACUCCAGCUGAAAGUCUGCAGAUGGACCGCCCAUGAGAUUGCCCUUAGACAGUUCCUCCUCCCCAACUGAGAAGUUCCUCUUUUAGUUGGUGCCAGGGGCUCUUUCUUCUAAGCUUUCAUCAAAGGCCUUACAUUGAAGGACUAACAUCCUAAGAUUGGCGCCAGUCAGGAGCAGUGAUUGAUAAUAGACAUCUUGGGAUGAAGAAGCCAUCUUUAUGCUGAUUGUGAUGAUUAUGCACCAAGGUAAAUACUCUAAAAUCCAUUUCCACUGUAUAAUCAACUGGGUUCCCCAAGCUGGUCUUUUUGUACUGCAUGGUUGAGUAAAGCUUUUGCUGUUUGCCUUGACAGAUGGAGCAGAUUGCUUUCAAUCAAUGCAGCACUUUCUUGUCAUUGUUUUAAUGUAGGAAUUGUAGGGGAAACUGGUGUCCCAGUGUGUUGGAUGGUUGCAGAACCUGACCUCUGUGGUGGGUGAUGCCUAGCUUGGUGUUGUUGGUUCAUGUGUUUUACCCAGUUGGGGUCACUUUCAACUCAAGUCUGGACAAUGUAGAGUACUUACUUUUUUUUCAUGGGAGGGUUAGGACAACAAGAUGCUCUUUCUAUGAUACAUACUCUGUUGAUAGUGGGUGUAGCUUUGAGUUGUCAGCAAAAAUGUCCUUGACCUUUCAUGUUUCAAGUGGAAAAGUUAACUAUAUAAGUGUAAUCUAUACUUAACUUACAUAGGAAAGAUGUUGUCUCCAUAGAAUUUGGACCCUUCUCUCUACUGCCAAGCUUGAAGCUUGGUAAAUGCAGUCAUGCAACACAUAAUAUUUUGGUCACGCAUGGAGAACACACACAAUGGAGGACCCAUAUGGUUAUAUCAUCUAGAAAGAUCAAAGGCAACUUUAUUUGUGCAUUUGUACUGUGUUUACACAAUGAAGUUAGUUAUCCAAAAACAUGUCUCCUAAUCUUUGAGGGAUGCUGUUACUGCUAGUACCUUAAUGAUUAACAAAUUACCUUUCCAAUAAUCUUGUCUUUGGGAAUAGAAUUUCUAUCACUCAGAGUUACUUUGUAAGCCUCUAAGAAAUUUUAAAAUAAAAAAUCAUUUCCUUUGUCCUAGGGGUUUUGAUUUUGAUGAGUGUCUUAGCAUGACCAAAAACAAUUUGGAGAGGAAAGGGUUUAUUUCCUCUUACAGUUUACUGGGCAGAAAUUUAAGCCAGGAACUGAAGCAGAGGCCUUAGAGGAACUAUACUGUCUCACUACUGAGGUAACACAGUUCACUCAGCCUGUUUUCCUGGACAACCCAGGACCACUGGCCCAGGGGUAACACUGUCCUUAGUGACCUGGGAUAUCACUGAUAAUGGAUCACUACUACUACUACUACUACUACUACUACUACUACU
Long non-coding RNA from Mesocricetus auratus (golden hamster), 1683 nucleotides. RefSeq lists it as uncharacterized. The transcript is spliced from 4 exons. NCBI's taxonomy places the organism in Eukaryota, Metazoa, Chordata, Mammalia, Rodentia, Cricetidae. The record is from RefSeq and is a predicted model, not a curated record.